UUUGAUUUCUUUCCUUUUAAGUCAUGAUUUAGUAGCAGACAAACCGGCUACUUUCUAGGAAUGUGUGUCGAGAAGUGAACGAUUUGCAGACAUGCGCAAAAUACUUUACAAUUUGUAUUCGAUUAGUAAAUCUAGCGUACGAUGAACGUGUAUGAGAAUAUUAGGUUUGCAACCCAAUUACAGGCCGGAACGGGAAGCUUCUAAUAAAAGAAUCGCCAAGCUAAUUUGCAGUCUAGCCAGUAGUGCUGCUUAUGCGCUCCAGAUAACGAUAGAAUUUUCUAGCGAAAAACAUGAAUAUCUCGCUUUCCCGUUGCGUGAAGUUACACCGCAGUACUUGAACUAGUUCCCGCUCGUUGGAGGAAAUCAAGGAGAAAGGGGGUUUAAACUAACUACUUGGUCUCAAAGAUUGAAAUCUCUACGAAUUGCACGCAAACUAAGUUGUACACUGCAGUGGUAGCAGAGAGAAAACCUUGGAGAUUUAGAUAAUCAAUUCUGCCGUCCGUUUGAUAAGGAGUAUUUUGGUGAUAGUUGACAGUAAUACAAGAUAACAAGCAAAGCGUUGGGGACAUUGGUCCACAGCAUGUCCUUAUCUUCACAAUACUCGAGUCUAUUUUAUGAGAAAUAUGGACCGACUAGGGGGUCAUAGUACUGAUGAGAGCAUUUUGAAGCUCAGUUGACUAUCCUGCUUUGUCAGUGCAGGCAAAACAAGACUGAACAGGUGUGAAGCGAGACUACACACACAAAAACACUUACAAAAUUUUGGUAUUUUUAUCAUUGCGCUGGAAUAAAUUCUACUUAUAUACAAAUUGAAAAUUUAUCAGGCGUCUCGGGCACCACAUUAUGAUUCAAGUUUUCAAAUUAAAAAUGAUAGAAUAAGAACAGUCUGUUUGCUUUAUAGUCAAAUAAAAAUAUUAUAAAAUCA
This is a long non-coding RNA of Exaiptasia diaphana, 922 nucleotides long. RefSeq lists it as uncharacterized. NCBI's taxonomy places the organism in Eukaryota, Metazoa, Cnidaria, Anthozoa, Actiniaria, Aiptasiidae. The record is from RefSeq and is a predicted model, not a curated record. The transcript is spliced from 2 exons.